RNAcentral lists this ribosomal RNA (438 nucleotides) under uncultured bacterium. RNAcentral's name for it is "bacterial SSU rRNA". It matches the Rfam family "Bacterial small subunit ribosomal RNA", at positions 338 to 793 of the family's 1533-position model. The record is from RNAcentral.
CCUACGGGGGGCAGCAGUGGGGAAUCUUGCGCAAUGGGCGAAAGCCUGACGCAGCCAUGCCGCGUGAAUGAUGAAGGUCUUAGGAUUGUAAAAUUCUUUCACCGGGGACGAUAAUGACGGUACCCGGAGAAGAAGCCCCGGCUAACUUCGUGCCAGCAGCCGCGGUAAUACGAAGGGGGCUAGCGUUGCUCGGAAUUACUGGGCGUAAAGGGAGCGUAGGCGGACAUUUAAGUCAGGGGUGAAAUCCCGGGGCUCAACCUCGGAAUUGCCUUUGAUACUGGGUGUCUUGAGUAUGAGAGAGGUGUGUGGAACUCCGAGUGUAGAGGUGAAAUUCGUAGAUAUUCGGAAGAACACCAGUGGCGAAGGCGACACACUGGCUCAUUACUGACGCUGAGGCUCGAAAGCGUGGGGAGCAAACAGGAUUAGAUACCCCAGUAG